Molecule: unclassified non-coding RNA, 1748 nt
Filed under: Haliotis rubra (blacklip abalone)
Lineage: Eukaryota; Metazoa; Mollusca; Gastropoda; Lepetellida; Haliotidae
Description: splicing factor 3B subunit 4-like, transcript variant X3
Source: RNAcentral
CUUAACUUUGCAUAAAAAUACACCAAAGAGGUUGAAAUCAACAUUUAUGCACACAGCUAUUAUGGCUUUGGUGGCCCCGCGUCUUCAAGUUUAACAUAAUUCAUUAUAUCAUCGUCGCUUUGUGUGCGUGAGUAGCCGGUGCGGUUGUCGGGGAGCACACGAGGAAGCAACAUGGAUGGCUGCCUUGUUCUGUGUCUGAUGGUGCUGGCGGGGUGUCUGGUGUUCAUUUCAUCAGGUGACGCCGCGAGGGGCAACGUUGGAGUGGCCUUGAACUCCAAGUCCAGUAACACCCGGUCCAGUAACACCCGAUCCACCACGAAGCGUAAGCAGAAGAGGGUGAAGGGGAAAGUCAAGUACCGGGAAGAGUUUCCAGAUGAACACGAACGCAAAAACACUGACAACGAACCCCGGCGCCACAAGGGCACCUACGGCUUGACCGCAGCGACUUGGGAGGCAGCCUUCAUGCGUGGCGACGUGUACAAUGGGGUGGCCUACUUCGACACCGUCCGCUACAACAACACCCCCGACACAAUGCCCACUAUCUGCCAGAACGUCGAUGUCUAUGACAACACCAACGCCAACGACAGCACGGACGUGUCUGACAACACGACGCAGCCAGUAUUGCCAGGUUUGUUCUACUGUCCAGGGGACGACGACGACGACGACAAAAACUUCUGCUGUGGCGACGAGGAAACGGAGUACUGUUGUGCCGGACCAGUGAAUAGUGAGUUCAGUCCUGUGGCGAUCGGCGCGUUGUUUGGGGGGAUCUUCCUCAUAGCGGGGAUUGCUGUAUUCUUCGUGUGGAGGAAGAAACGACAAGGUCAGCUAAAACUGGAGGAGAAAGUUCCGCCGCAGGAGAAAGCAGCAGAACCCAUGCUUGCUCCCAACACAGCAGUCCCUCAACAACUCGCAACCGGAGCUCCAGUUCAGUCUGUGGCAGCUCCGAUGCUCCCUCCCCAGGGUGCAACCGUACAACCACCAGGGUACGGACCCGCAGGUGCUUUGUACCCCCCUCCAGACCAGAAAGCACCCGCUGUUGCCUACCCCCCUCAACUACCCCCGGACCAACAAGGCUACCCCCCUCAGCCACCCCCAGGCCAACAAGUCUAUCCUCCACAACCACCCCCGGACCAGCAAGGCUACCCUCCACAACCACCCCCGGACCAGCAAGGCUACCCUCCACAGCCACCCCCGGACCAGGCAGCACCAUCAGAGCCCUACCCACCUGCAGCUGAAGGAACCCCAGCGGGAGACCCAUCCCCUCCACAGCAGCCGCCCAACGUUGCCUACCCACUAGCCCCCCAGGGAGUCCAGACAACCGCCAGUGUGCCGCCAGAGUCGUCGGACCCACCACCUCAGGCGGUAUAAAACGCCAUCAGCCUUGAGGACACCACGCCCUAGGGCAGGGCACAACACCACUACACCGGGAAUCAACCGGGGCGGUAGAUGGGACAUAACACCGAUUCUGUCUUCUCAUUAUUCAAAUGUGUUAGUGUUUCCAUUUUAAUUGUUUUAGCAGACUUCAGCCUCUUUGCUACUGAAGAAUCCUUUAUAUCUGUGAAUCCUCGUUGUUCCAGGGCGAUUUAUAUGGAGGAUCGAUGAUGAUGUUGAUGUGCUCAGGACAGGAUAUCACGCGCUUCAUUUUAUAUCUGUGAUAUUGGAUGUUUUUAUACAUACGUGGGCAUCGGUCUGUAUUAGUAGGGGCCCUGUGGUGGACACGCCUGGGCUUCAAAGGGCGUACUUGUACC